Molecule: non-coding RNA, 458 nt
Organism: Salvelinus sp. IW2-2015
Lineage: Eukaryota; Metazoa; Chordata; Actinopteri; Salmoniformes; Salmonidae
Source: RefSeq, a predicted model, not a curated record
GCACUUUCACUGGCUGUCGUCAUAUCGAUCCCGGUAGCGGGAUGCAGCCAUAAGAAGUUAAUCAAAGCACCUUUCAUCUCAGAGAUCAGGAAGUACCAACUACAUGCAAAGCCUGGCAGCACUAACAUUAACAAACAGCCYGAAUUUACUCUGAUAAGCACAAGCCCUAAAUAGCAGCCACAUUUCCUAGUAAGGAUAACUCUUUUGAGUGUUUCGAGGCCGACUGAUUGGAUCUAUAGGCAGCUACUGAAGCUGAGUUGGACAGACCAGUUGCUGACUAACCAGCCAGACAGAUCACUGAUGCAUUACUGAGAUAGUGAAGUCAGGAACAGCCAUACCAUUGAAUCCUCUGCGGAGGGCACUUUGCAAAGCUGGACAUGGUCUCCUCCAGGUUCUGCCUCAGAUCUGCAAUGUCCUUCACCGUCCGCAGCCGCCUGGCCUCAGGGUCUUCACCUAGG